Molecule: ribosomal RNA, 305 nt
Filed under: uncultured bacterium
Lineage: Bacteria
Description: bacterial SSU rRNA
Rfam family: Bacterial small subunit ribosomal RNA
Source: RNAcentral
UACCUACGGGGCGCAGCAGUGAGGAAUAUUGGUCAAUGGGCGGGAGCCUGAACCAGCCAAGUCGCGUGAGGGAUGACGGCCCUAUGGGUUGUAAACCUCCUUAGGCGGGGAGCAAUGCCGGGCACGCGUGCCCGGAGGGAGAAUACCCGCAGAAUAAGCAUCGGCUAACUCCGUGCCAGCAGCCGCGGUAAUACGGAGGAUGCGAGCGUUAUCCGGAUUUAUUGGGUCUAAAGGGUGCGUGGGCGGAUUUUUAAGUCAGCGGUAAAAUGUCCGGGCUCAACCCGGGCCGGCCGGUGAAACUGGGG